Molecule: non-coding RNA, 756 nt
Organism: Doryrhamphus excisus (bluestripe pipefish)
Lineage: Eukaryota; Metazoa; Chordata; Actinopteri; Syngnathiformes; Syngnathidae
Source: RefSeq, a predicted model, not a curated record
GUGAUGUCAACAGUCAGGAAGCAAAGUCCGACCCUCACACAAGCAUCUUGUCUGCCUCUAUCUAAUCGCCCAUCACAACAAAGCACUUUGCCCCCACCCCCGCCGCCCUUUCUGCUACAUCAUCAUGUGCUACAUCAGAUUAGCGCAGAGGACGGAUGCACUGUUACCUCCGCCAAGGAGAAUGCGUUCUUAUCUGUGUUCCAAUUGUUUUUGCGUUUGUGUGCAACUUCCUGCCUACACUUGUUGAUGCUUGAAUAAUGAUUGCAGCUUAUCAAGGGUGGUAGACUCGGACUUGAACUCAUCACGGCUACACUGUGGGGACAGACGUAUGAGGAUGCCUUCAGGCACAAUAAUCCCCAAGACGGACUACAGUUGGGACUGGACUACACAUUUAAAGCAACAGCCAUCAAGCCCCCCACGUGACCGUGGACCUUGCCGCCAGCAAGGUGCUGGGCGAGGCCCCCGCCGGCCCGGCGUAGAGGUGAGGCGAGAUGUUUGAUGAAGCGGAAGGUAACGCCGCCUGGCUCGGCUUCUCUUGCCUUGCUGUCGUGACGCACACCAGCAGACAGGUGGACGGAAAAGAAUACCUCCACGUUGUCCUCUCUAAUAGCAAGCCACGUCGGACCACGUGUUCUCGUUGGCUUCAGCGCCAUCCGUCAAGCGCUCACAAUCCAGCCUGUCGUGCAGAAAGGACGACAUCGAUCAUGGCGGUAGACAGAUGCUAAACAACAGGAACACCUGGGGGGAUGGUGAUUG